This 1012-nucleotide ribosomal RNA is filed under the name Emericellopsis sp. TS11. Its description in RNAcentral is "SSU rRNA". It matches the Rfam family "Eukaryotic small subunit ribosomal RNA", at positions 69 to 1092 of the family's 1831-position model. The record is from RNAcentral. Lineage: Eukaryota; Fungi; Ascomycota; Sordariomycetes; Hypocreales; Bionectriaceae.
GCAAUUAUACGGCGAAACUGCGAAUGGCUCAUUAUAUAAGUUAUCGUUUAUUUGAUAGUACCUUACUACUUGGAUAACCGUGGUAAUUCUAGAGCUAAUACAUGCUAAAAACCCCGACUUCGGAAGGGGUGUAUUUAUUAGAUUAAAAACCAAUGCCCUUCGGGGCUCCUUGGUGAUUCAUGAUAACUUCUCGAAUCGCAUGGCCUUGCGCCGGCGAUGGUUCAUUCAAAUUUCUUCCCUAUCAACUUUCGAUGUUUGGGUAUUGGCCAAACAUGGUUGCAACGGGUAACGGAGGGUUAGGGCUCGACCCCGGAGAAGGAGCCUGAGAAACGGCUACUACAUCCAAGGAAGGCAGCAGGCGCGCAAAUUACCCAAUCCCGACUCGGGGAGGUAGUGACAAUAAAUACUGAUACAGGGCUCUUUAGGGUCUUGUAAUUGGAAUGAGUACAAUUUAAAUCCCUUAACGAGGAACAAUUGGAGGGCAAGUCUGGUGCCAGCAGCCGCGGUAAUUCCAGCUCCAAUAGCGUAUAUUAAAGUUGUUGUGGUUAAAAAGCUCGUAGUUGAACCUUGGCCUCGGCCGGCCGGUCCGCCUCACCGCGUGCACUGGCUCGGCCGGGGCUUUCCCUCUGUGGAACCCCAUGCCCUUCACUGGGCGUGGCGGGGAAACAGGACUUUUACUUUGAAAAAAUUAGAGUGCUUCAGGCAGGCCUAUGCUCGAAUACAUUAGCAUGGAAUAAUAAAAUAGGACGUGCGGUUCUAUUUUGUUGGUUUCUAGGACCGCCGUAAUGAUUAAUAGGGACAGUCGGGGGCAUCAGUAUUCAAUUGUCAGAGGUGAAAUUCUUGGAUUUAUUGAAGACUAACUACUGCGAAAGCAUUUGCCAAGGAUGUUUUCAUUAAUCAGGAACGAAAGUUAGGGGAUCGAAGACGAUCAGAUACCGUCGUAGUCUUAACCAUAAACUAUGCCGACUAGGGAUCGGACGGUGUUAUUUUUUGACCCGUUCGGCACCUUACG